RNAcentral lists this ribosomal RNA (506 nucleotides) under uncultured bacterium. Its description in RNAcentral is "partial 16S ribosomal RNA". It matches the Rfam family "Bacterial small subunit ribosomal RNA", at positions 29 to 523 of the family's 1533-position model. The record is from RNAcentral.
AGUGAACGCUGGCGGUAGGCCUAACACAUGCAAGUCGAGCGGCAGCACAGGAGAGCUUGCUCUCUGGGUGGCGAGUGGCGGACGGGUGAGGAAUACAUCGGAAUCUACUUUUUCGUGGGGGAUAACGUAGGGAAACUUACGCUAAUACCGCAUACGACCUACGGGUGAAAGCAGGGGAUCUUCGGACCUUGCGCGAUUGAAUGAGCCGAUGUCGGAUUAGCUAGUUGGCGGGGUAAAGGCCCACCAAGGCGACGAGCCGUAGCUGGUCUGAGAGGAUGAUCAGCCACACUGGAACUGAGACACGGUCCAGACUCCUACGGGAGGCAGCAGUGGGGAAUAUUGGACAAUGGGCGCAAGCCUGAUCCAGCCAUACCGCGUGGGUGAAGAAGGCCUUCGGGUUGUAAAGCCCUUUUGUUGGGAAAGAAAUCCAGCUGGUUAAUACCCGGUUGGGAUGACGGUACCCAAAGAAUAAGCACCGGCUAACUUCGUGCCAGCAGCCGCAGUAA